CCUACGGGAGGCUGCAGUGGGGAAUAUUGGACAAUGGGCGAAAGCCUGAUCCAGCCAUGCCGCGUGUGUGAAGAAGGCCUUCGGGUUGUAAAGCACUUUCAGUGGGGAAGAAAGCCUUGGGGCUAAUACCCUCGAGGAAGGACAUCACCCACAGAAGAAGCACCGGCUAACUCCGUGCCAGCAGCCGCGGUAAUACGGAGGGUGCGAGCGUUAAUCGGAAUUACUGGGCGUGAAGCGCGCGUAGGCGGUCUGAUAAGCCGGUUGUGAAAGCCCCGGGCUCAACCUGGGAACGGCAUCCGGAACUGUCAGGCUAGAGUGCAGGAGAGGAAGGUAGAAUUCCCGGUGUAGCGGUGAAAUGCGUAGAGAUCGGGAGGAAUACCAGUGGCGAAGGCGGCCUUCUGGACUGACACUGACGCUGAGGUGCGAAAGCGUGGGUAGCAAACAGCAUUAGAUACCCGAGUAGUC
RNAcentral lists this ribosomal RNA (465 nucleotides) under Vreelandella stevensii. RNAcentral describes it as "partial 16S ribosomal RNA". It matches the Rfam family "Bacterial small subunit ribosomal RNA", at positions 338 to 795 of the family's 1533-position model. The record is from RNAcentral. Lineage: Bacteria; Pseudomonadati; Pseudomonadota; Gammaproteobacteria; Oceanospirillales; Halomonadaceae.